RNAcentral lists this ribosomal RNA (727 nucleotides) under uncultured bacterium. Its description in RNAcentral is "bacterial SSU rRNA". It matches the Rfam family "Bacterial small subunit ribosomal RNA", at positions 25 to 747 of the family's 1533-position model. The record is from RNAcentral.
CAGAUUGAACGCUGGCGGCAUGCUUUACACAUGCAAGUCGAACGGCAGCACGGGGGCGACCCUGGUGGCGAGUGGCGAACGGGUGAGUAAUAUAUCGGAACGUACCCGGAAAUGGGGGAUAACGUAGCGAAAGUUACGCUAAUACCGCAUAUGCCCUGAGGGGGAAAGUGGGGGAUCGCAAGACCUCACGUUUUCGGAGCGGCCGAUAUCAGAUUAGCUAGUUGGCGGGGUAAAGGCCCACCAAGGCAUCGAUCUGUAGCUGGUCUGAGAGGACGACCAGCCACACUGGGACUGAGACACGGCCCAGACUCCUACGGGAGGCAGCAGUGGGGAAUUUUGGACAAUGGGGGCAACCCUGAUCCAGCCAUGCCGCGUGAGUGAAGAAGGCCUUCGGGUUGUAAAGCUCUUUCGGACAGAAAGAAAUCGCACGGGAUAACACCCUGUGUGGAUGACGGUACUGUAAGAAGAAGCACCGGCUAACUACGUGCCAGCAGCCGCGGUAAUACGUAGGGUGCGAGCGUUAAUCGGAAUUACUGGGCGUAAAGCGUGCGCAGGCGGUUUAUUAAGACAGAUGUGAAAUCCCCGGGCUCAACCUGGGAGCUGCAUUUGUGACUGGUAGGCUAGAGUGUGGCAGAGGGGGGUAGAAUUCCACGUGUAGCAGUGAAAUGCGUAGAGAUGUGGAGGAAUACCGAUGGCGAACGCAGCCCCCUGGGUUAACACUGACGCU